UUAAGUCCCGCAACGAGCGCAACCCUCGCCUCUAGUUGCCAGCAUUCGUUGGGCACUCUAGAGGGGACUGCCGGCGACAAGUCGGAGGAAGUGGGGAUGACGUCAAAUCAUCAUGCCCCUUAUGACCUGGGCUACACACGUGCUACAAUGGGCGGUACAAAGGGCUGCGAACCCGCGAGGGGGAGCGAAUCCCAAAAAAGCCGCUACUCAGUUCGGAUUGCAGGCUGCAACUCGCCUGCAUGAAGCCGGAAUCGCUAGUAAUCGCGGAUCAGCAUGCCGCGGUGAAUACGUUCCCGGGCCUU
This 302-nucleotide ribosomal RNA is filed under the name uncultured Geobacillus sp. Its description in RNAcentral is "bacterial SSU rRNA". It matches the Rfam family "Bacterial small subunit ribosomal RNA", at positions 1080 to 1382 of the family's 1533-position model. Lineage: Bacteria; Bacillati; Bacillota; Bacilli; Caryophanales; Anoxybacillaceae. The record is from RNAcentral.